RNAcentral lists this unclassified non-coding RNA (380 nucleotides) under uncultured Rickettsiaceae bacterium. Its description in RNAcentral is "contains 16S-23S intergenic spacer region". The record is from RNAcentral. Lineage: Bacteria; Pseudomonadati; Pseudomonadota; Alphaproteobacteria; Rickettsiales; Rickettsiaceae.
UCCAGUUUAUAACUGGCAGUUUCCUUAUAGUUCCCGGCAUUACCCGCUGGCAAAUAAGGAUAGGGGUUGCGCUCGUUGCAGGACUUAACCUAACAUCUCACAACACGAGCUGACGACAGCCAUGCAACACCUGUAUGUGGUCCGGCCGAACCGAAGGAAUCCAUUUCUGAAUCCCGCGACCACUAUGUCAAGGAUUGGUAAGGUUUUUCGCGUAACAUCGAAUUAAACCGCAUGUUCCACCACUUGUGCAGGUCCCCGUCAAUUCCUUUGAGUUUUAAUCUUGCGAUCUUACUUCCCAGGCGGAAUGUUUAACGCGUUAGCUACGACACCGAGAUCUAAGACCCCGACGCCUAACAUUCAUCGUUUACAGCGUGGACUAC